GUAGGGUGCGAGCGUUAAUCGGAAUUACUGGGCGUAAAGCGUGCGCAGGCGGUUAUGUAAGACAGAUGUGAAAUCCCCGGGCUCAACCUGGGAACUGCAUUAGUGACUGCACAGCUGGAGUACGGCAGAGGGGGAUGGAAUUCCGCGUGUAGCAGUGAAAUGCGUAGAUAUGCGGAGGAACACCGAUGGCGAAGGCAAUCCCCUGGGCCUGUACUGACGCUCAUGCACGAAAGCGUGGGGAGCAAACAGGAUUAGAUACCCUGGUAGUCCCACGCCCCUAAACGAUGUCAACUGGUUGUUGGGUCUUCACUGACUCAGUAACGAAGCUAACGCGUGAAGUCGACCGCCUAGGAGUACGGCCGCAAGGUUG
RNAcentral lists this ribosomal RNA (370 nucleotides) under uncultured organism. RNAcentral describes it as "partial 16S ribosomal RNA". It matches the Rfam family "Bacterial small subunit ribosomal RNA", at positions 527 to 896 of the family's 1533-position model. The record is from RNAcentral.